RNAcentral lists this ribosomal RNA (730 nucleotides) under uncultured bacterium. RNAcentral's name for it is "bacterial SSU rRNA". It matches the Rfam family "Bacterial small subunit ribosomal RNA", at positions 771 to 1501 of the family's 1533-position model. The record is from RNAcentral.
AACAGGAUUAGAUACCCUGGUAGUCCACGCCGUAAACGAUGUCGACUUGGAGGUUGUGCCCUUGAGGCGUGGCUUCCGGAGCUAACGCGUUAAGUCGACCGCCUGGGGAGUACGGCCGCAAGGUUAAAACUCAAAUGAAUUGACGGGGGCCCGCACAAGCGGCGGAGCAUGUGGUUUAAUUCGAUGCAACGCGAAGAACCUUACCUACUCUUGACAUCCAGAGAACUUAGCAGAGAUGCUUUGGUGCCUUCGGGAACUCUGAGACAGGUGCUGCAUGGCUGUCGUCAGCUCGUGUUGUGAAAUGUUGGGUUAAGUCCCGCAACGAGCGCAACCCUUAUCCUUUGUUGCCAGCGGUUAGGCCGGGAACUCAAAGGAGACUGCCAGUGAUAAACUGGAGGAAGGUGGGGAUGACGUCAAGUCAUCAUGGCCCUUACGAGUAGGGCUACACACGUGCUACAAUGGCGCAUACAAAGAGAAGCGACCUCGCGAGAGCAAGCGGACCUCAUAAAGUGCGUCGUAGUCCGGAUUGGAGUCUGCAACUCGACUCCAUGAAGUCGGAAUCGCUAGUAAUCGUGGAUCAGAAUGCCACGGUGAAUACGUUCCCGGGCCUUGUACACACCGCCCGUCACACCAUGGGAGUGGGUUGCAAAAGAAGUAGGUAGCUUAACCUUCGGGAGGGCGCUUACCACUUUGUGAUUCAUGACUGGGGUGAAGUCGUAACAAGGUAACC